This 253-nucleotide ribosomal RNA is filed under the name uncultured bacterium. Its description in RNAcentral is "partial 16S ribosomal RNA". It matches the Rfam family "Bacterial small subunit ribosomal RNA", at positions 524 to 776 of the family's 1533-position model. The record is from RNAcentral.
UACGAAGGGGGCUAGCGUUGCUCGGAAUUACUGGGCGUAAAGGGCGCGUAGGCGGCCUGCUAAGUCGAACGUGAAAUCCCUGGGCUCAACCCAGGAACUGCGUCCGAUACUGGUUGGCUUGAAUCCGGGAGAGGGAUGUGGAAUUCCAGGUGUAGCGGUGAAAUGCGUAGAUAUCUGGAGGAACACCGGUGGCGAAGGCGACAUCCUGGACCGGUAUUGACGCUGAGGCGCGAAAGCCAGGGGAGCAAACGGG